This 483-nucleotide ribosomal RNA is filed under the name Escherichia coli. RNAcentral's name for it is "bacterial SSU rRNA". It matches the Rfam family "Bacterial small subunit ribosomal RNA", at positions 1050 to 1533 of the family's 1533-position model. The record is from RNAcentral. Lineage: Bacteria; Pseudomonadati; Pseudomonadota; Gammaproteobacteria; Enterobacterales; Enterobacteriaceae.
UGUCGUCAGCUCGUGUUGUGAAAUGUUGGGUUAAGUCCCGCAACGAGCGCAACCCUUAUCCUUUGUUGCCAGCGGUCCGGCCGGGAACUCAAAGGAGACUGCCAGUGAUAAACUGGAGGAAGGUGGGGAUGACGUCAAGUCAUCAUGGCCCUUACGACCAGGGCUACACACGUGCUACAAUGGCGCAUACAAAGAGAAGCGACCUCGCGAGAGCAAGCGGACCUCAUAAAGUGCGUCGUAGUCCGGAUUGGAGUCUGCAACUCGACUCCAUGAAGUCGGAAUCGCUAGUAAUCGUGGAUCAGAAUGCCACGGUGAAUACGUUCCCGGGCCUUGUACACACCGCCCGUCACACCAUGGGAGUGGAUUGCAAAAGAAGUAGGUAGCUUAACCUUCGGGAGGGCGCUUACCACUUUGUGAUUCAUGACUGGGGUGAAGUCGUAACAAGGUAACCGUAGGGGAACCUGCGGUUGGAUCACCUCCUUA